Long non-coding RNA from Pseudophryne corroboree (corroboree frog), 1793 nucleotides. RefSeq lists it as uncharacterized. Lineage: Eukaryota; Metazoa; Chordata; Amphibia; Anura; Myobatrachidae. The transcript is spliced from 4 exons. The record is from RefSeq and is a predicted model, not a curated record.
CCCUAGCCGACGCUCUGGGCCAUGGAGGAUACCGUUUGGAACGCAGGGGUAACCGGCGCGCGGCAGGUGCUACAGCUGAUCAGUGACGACGUCAUGAAUCCCCGCCGACGCACUGGACCAGGGAGGAGUCAGCACGAGGUUUGGGGCCGGAUCACUAUAAAUGUAUUUGUAGCUGAUAGGGAUCACAACAGCGCAACCCCUCAGUUUGUACGUAUAUGAGGGCUGGAUCAAUGGUGAACACUGGUGCACUCAGCGCGAUCUUGUUUUGAUUUUAAUUCCUUGCAACUGAGAAGAGAAAAGGUCACGGAAGAAAAAUCUUCAAUUACCGUCCCCAAUGAUUAAAAUUUUUGGAUUCAAACAAUUAAAUGAAAUGGACUGACUAGGGCAGUAUGGAUGGUGUAAUGGUUAACUUUACUGCCUGACCGCAAUGAGGUCAUGGGUUCCAUUUACACCAUGGCGCUAACUGUGUGGAGUUUGUAUAUUCUCCCUGUGUUUGCAUAGAUUUCCUCCUGGAGCUAUGGUUUCCUCCAGGUGGUAUUCAGUAUACUGGUUGUUGGGAUCCCGGCGCACAGUAUACUGGCGCUGGAAUCCUGACAACCGGCAUACCGACACCAUUUCUCCCUCUUGGGGGUCCAUGACCACCCUGGAGGGAGAAUAGAUAGCGUGGCGUGCAUAGUGUGCCACCGUGCCCGCAGCACGGUGAGCGCAGUGAGCCCGUAAGGGGCUAAUUUGAGCUCGCCCCACUGUCGGCAACUCAUACCACACUCGUUUCCUCCCACUAUCCAAAAAUCUGCUGGUAGUUUAAUAGGCUCACGUCAAAAAGAUUAACCAUAGUGCGUGUAUGUAUUAGAUAGGCCAAGGAGUUCUUAUUGGCCAUCAAAUUCUAAGCUAGCUCUUCUUUCUUUCACCAACUGAUAAGAGAAUAGGCCAUGAAAGAAGGAUUUCUGAUCAUUACUGCCAUGAAAGAAGAAUUUUCAAUAAUUACCAUCCCAAAUGCCCCCAUUGAUUAAAAUUUUCGGAAUCAAAUAAUUAAAUUUAAUUAACUUACAAAUCAAUCCUUCCUUCUGAUCUAGUUCUUGAUUAAUGAAAACAUUCUUGGUUACGUUUUAUGGUUUAAUAUAUUUUAUUAAACGGUCAUCAUGUCUGCCACUGCAGUGCCACUCUGUUUCCUAGAUGUUUCAUGUUUGAAGUUGACUGCCAUGUGUUUGCGCUGCCCUCUACUGUCGCCUAGCUUAGUCAGCCAGCUAUCUCUGUGCAGCCUUUUGGCCUAAACUGGAUGAAAACAAUAUUGUGGAGCUGUGAAGUGGUCAAGAUUGACUGGAAAUUACUAGAAAUGAAUGUUAUUGAGGUUAAUAAUACUGUAGGAACAAAAAAGGCAUAUAUUAUGUGAUUUUAGCUGUUAUAAAUGACUGAAAAAGAUACAAAUCAAAAACCAACAACACAAACCAAAUCACAUGAGGGUGGGUUUUGGCAACACCAAAACACAAAGUUAAUACAGAUCCAAAACCGAAACUAAUACACUAGAGAUGUGCACCGGAAAUUUUUCGGGUUUUGUGUUUUGGUUUUGGAUUCGGUUCCGCUGCCGUGUUUUGGAUUUGGACGCGUUUUGGCAAAACCUCCCUUAAAAUUUUUUGUCGGAUUUGGGUGUUUUUUUUUCAAAAACCCCUCAAAACAGCUUAAAUCAAGUCAAGCACUAGACAUUAUAAGGCUUUACAUUAUAUAAUGGAGUAUAACAUCAUGUAUAUGUAUUAAUGGAACAGAACAAAAUAAAUAUGUCAUGCUUGGUGUCAAAA